Molecule: long non-coding RNA, 595 nt
Organism: Thalassophryne amazonica
Lineage: Eukaryota; Metazoa; Chordata; Actinopteri; Batrachoidiformes; Batrachoididae
Exons: 2
Source: RefSeq, a predicted model, not a curated record
CCAGGAAGGGGGCGAGACAGAGGACGUGGACAAAAACAAGCAGGGUCAGUACACGAGCAAACUGUGUUUUCAGAGCUGAGGCAAACAGCAGGAUCCGGAACACAGAUCAGAGUCAAAACACGGCUUGGCAUAAAUAGGACAGAGACAAAGUGCUGGCAAAGAAGGACGACGAAAGAGUUGGUACUGCUAUUAAUACUGACUCAGAUGCCGGGGUGGAUGAAGCCAUGGGCGACGAUGUGGAUGCCGAAGAUGUGGUUGCCGACGCCAUGGACCACAGUGUGGUGAAUCAUGAUGCCAUGGACAGCGGUGCCAUGAGUGAUGAUGCCACGAUUAGUCAUGGGUCAGAUGAGAAGUGAUCCAUUUUAUACUGAGAACUUAUGUAGGUACGGGGGAGACAUGUUGGUUUCGCUUCUGUCGGCAUUGGCGUGCACAAUACAUUUAUCAUAUAGCUCUUGUAACCUUUGGAUAGUACUGAAGUUAUGACCAAAGGCGUGUACACAAGUUGACAUGUUCAGGGCUGGAUCCAGAGUGAAAAUCUGACAGAUGCAUUUUUGCCCAGUGAUAAAAUAAAAAUCGUCUUAUUAUUCAAUCUUCA